UUGGGGGCAUGCUGCCGUGAGGCGGCUCCCCUCAAAUGCAUCGGUUGGACCUGCGGGUCGGACUCGACUGGGCGUUGUACCAUCCUCGCUCGACUGAGAAGUUCCCCUCUUGCGUCCUCCCACGACCUUGCCUCUGGAGUGGCGGUCAAUGUAUUUUGAAAUCUGACCUCAAAUCAGGUAGGACUACCCGCUGAACUUAA
This 200-nucleotide unclassified non-coding RNA is filed under the name soil metagenome. RNAcentral's name for it is "partial contains internal transcribed spacer 2 and large subunit ribosomal RNA". The record is from RNAcentral.